This 577-nucleotide ribosomal RNA is filed under the name uncultured bacterium. RNAcentral's name for it is "bacterial SSU rRNA". It matches the Rfam family "Bacterial small subunit ribosomal RNA", at positions 63 to 653 of the family's 1533-position model. The record is from RNAcentral.
CGAACGAGAGAGAAGGAGCUUGCUUCUUCGAUCGAGUGGCGAACGGGUGAGUAACGCGUGAGGAACCUGCCUCAAAGAGGGGGACAACAGUUGGAAACGACUGCUAAUACCGCAUAAGCCCACGGGUCGGCAUCGAUCUGAGGGAAAAGGAGCAAUCCGCUUUGAGAUGGCCUCGCGUCCGAUUAGCUAGUUGGUGAGGUAACGGCCCACCAAGGCGACGAUCGGUAGCCGGACUGAGAGGUUGAACGGCCACAUUGGGACUGAGACACGGCCCAGACUCCUACGGGAGGCAGCAGUGGGGAAUAUUGCACAAUGGGGGAAACCCUGAUGCAGCGACGCCGCGUGGAGGAAGAAGGUCUUCGGAUUGUAAACUCCUGUCGUUAGGGACGAUAAUGACGGUACCUAACAAGAAAGCACCGGCUAACUACGUGCCAGCAGCCGCGGUAAAACGUAGGGUGCAAGCGUUGUCCGGAAUUACUGGGUGUAAAGGGAGCGCAGGCGGACCGGCAAGUUGGAAGUGAAAACUAUGGGCUCAACCCAUAAAUUGCUUUCAAAACUGCUGGCCUUGAGUAGUGCA